Molecule: transfer RNA, 72 nt
Organism: Pseudobacteriovorax antillogorgiicola
Lineage: Bacteria; Pseudomonadati; Bdellovibrionota; Oligoflexia; Oligoflexales; Pseudobacteriovoracaceae
Rfam family: tRNA
About the family: Transfer RNA (tRNA) molecules are approximately 80 nucleotides in length. Their secondary structure includes four short double-helical elements and three loops (D, anti-codon, and T loops). Further hydrogen bonds mediate the characteristic L-shaped molecular structure. tRNAs have two regions of fundamental functional importance: the anti-codon, which is responsible for specific mRNA codon recognition, and the 3' end, to which the tRNAs corresponding amino acid is attached (by aminoacyl-tRNA synthetases). tRNAs cope with the degeneracy of the genetic code in two manners: having more than one tRNA (with a specific anti-codon) for a particular amino acid; and 'wobble' base-pairing, i.e. permitting non-standard base-pairing at the 3rd anti-codon position.
Source: Rfam
GCCCAGGUGGCUCAGGGGUAGAGCACGUCCUUGGUAAGGACGAGGUCACGGGUUCAAAUCCCGUUCUGGGCU